Molecule: ribosomal RNA, 253 nt
Filed under: uncultured bacterium
Lineage: Bacteria
Description: partial 16S ribosomal RNA
Rfam family: Bacterial small subunit ribosomal RNA
Source: RNAcentral
UACAGAGGGUGCAAACGUUGUUCGGAAUUACUGGGCGUAAAGCGCGUGUAGGCUGCCUUGCAAGUCGGGUGUGAAAGCCCUGGGCUCAACCUAGGAAGUGCACUCGAAACUGCAAGGCUGGAGUCCUGGAGAGGAAGGCGGAAUUCUCGGUGUAGAGGUGAAAUUCGUAGAUAUCGAGAGGAACACCGGUGGCGAAGGCGGCCUUCUGGACAGUGACUGACGCUGAGACGCGAAAGCGUGGGGAGCAAACAGG